UUUUGAUUGGGGUAAUCAUAAAGCUAAAAUCUCUAGUUAAAUAGAAGAUUAUAAAUCUCUAUAUAAUAUUUGAACCAGUUAUUCUGAAAUUAGAAUAAGUUACCGCAGGGAUAACAGCGUUAUCUUCUUUGAGAGUUCUUAUUGACAAGAAGGAUUGCGACCUCGAUGUUGGAUUGAGGCAUCCUUAAGGUGUAGCAGCUUUAAAGGGUUGGGCUGUUCGCCCAUU
Molecule: ribosomal RNA, 226 nt
Filed under: Zygothuria lactea
Lineage: Eukaryota; Metazoa; Echinodermata; Holothuroidea; Aspidochirotida; Synallactidae
Description: partial 16S ribosomal RNA
Rfam family: Bacterial large subunit ribosomal RNA
Source: RNAcentral